Molecule: non-coding RNA, 94 nt
Organism: Pseudogymnoascus pannorum
Lineage: Eukaryota; Fungi; Ascomycota; Leotiomycetes; Thelebolales; Thelebolaceae
Source: Rfam
GGUUGUAUAGUGUAGUUGGUUAUCACAUCGGAUUCUGAUCAGCGAUUCAAUCGUAAUCAUUCCGGGGACCUGAGUUCGAAUCUCGGUACGACCU